GAUGAACGCUAGCGGCAGGCCUAAUACAUGCAAGCCGAACGGCAAGUCUGAUAGCAAUAUUAGACCUAGAGUGGCGUAAGGGUGCGUAACACGUAUGCAAUCUACCCGCAACAGGAGGAUAGCUCGGGGAAACUCGAAUUAACCCUCCAUAAGAUCUUAGACCGGCAUCGGUUAGAGAUUAAAUCUGAGGAGGUUGCGGAUGAGCAUGCGUCUGAUUAGCUAGUUGGCGGGGUAAUGGCCCACCAAGGCGAUGAUCAGUAGGGGAACUGAGAGGUUGAUCCCCCACACUGGCACUGAGAUACGGGCCAGACUCCUACGGGAGGCAGCAGUAGGGAAUAUUGGACAAUGGGUGAAAGCCUGAUCCAGCCAUGCCGCGUGCAGGAAGAAGGCCUUCUGGGUUGUAAACUGCUUUUAUCUGGGGAUAAAAGGCCUUGCGAGGCAAACUGAAGGUACCAGAUGAAUAAGCCACGGCUAACUACGUGCCAGCA
RNAcentral lists this ribosomal RNA (488 nucleotides) under uncultured bacterium. RNAcentral describes it as "bacterial SSU rRNA". It matches the Rfam family "Bacterial small subunit ribosomal RNA", at positions 28 to 513 of the family's 1533-position model. The record is from RNAcentral.